Molecule: ribosomal RNA, 35 nt
Filed under: Panulirus japonicus (Japanese spiny lobster)
Lineage: Eukaryota; Metazoa; Arthropoda; Malacostraca; Decapoda; Palinuridae
Description: partial 5.8S ribosomal RNA
Source: RNAcentral
ACCACUCUUGACGGGGGAUCACUCGGCUCGUGGGU